CUUGCUUCUCUUGAGAGCGGCGGACGGGUGAGUAAUGCCUAGGAAUCUGCCUGGUAGUGGGGGAUAACGUUCGGAAACGGACGCUAAUACCGCAUACGUCCUACGGGAGAAAGCAGGGGACCUUCGGGCCUUGCGCUAUCAGAUGAGCCUAGGUCGGAUUAGCUAGUUGGUGGGGUAAUGGCUCACCAAGGCGACGAUCCGUAACUGGUCUGAGAGGAUGAUCAGUCACACUGGAACUGAGACACGGUCCAGACUCCUACGGGAGGCAGCAGUGGGGAAUAUUGGACAAUGGGCGAAAGCCUGAUCCAGCCAUGCCGCGUGUGUGAAGAAGGUCUUCGGAUUGUAAAGCACUUUAAGUUGGGAGGAAGGGUUGUAGAUUAAUACUCUGCAAUUUUGACGUUACCGACAGAAUAAGCACCGGCUAACUCUGUGCCAGCAGCCGCGGUAAUACAGAGGGUGCAAGCGUUAAUCGGAAUUACUGGGCGUAAAGCGCGCGUAGGUGGUUUGUUAAGUUGGAUGUGAAAUCCCCGGGCUCAACCUGGGAACUGCAUUCAAAACUGACUGACUAGAGUAUGGUAGAGGGUGGUGGAAUUUCCUGUGUAGCGGUGAAAUGCGUAGAUAUAGGAAGGAACACCAGUGGCGAAGGCGACCACCUGGACUAAUACUGACACUGAGGUGCGAAAGCGUGGGGAGCAAACAGG
Molecule: ribosomal RNA, 701 nt
Filed under: uncultured bacterium
Lineage: Bacteria
Description: bacterial SSU rRNA
Rfam family: Bacterial small subunit ribosomal RNA
Source: RNAcentral